This 165-nucleotide unclassified non-coding RNA is filed under the name uncultured Hypocreales. RNAcentral describes it as "sequence contains ITS1". The record is from RNAcentral. Lineage: Eukaryota; Fungi; Ascomycota; Sordariomycetes; Hypocreales.
UAGAGGAUUAAAAACCCCCUAAAACCCACUGUGAACAUACCUAUCGUUGCUUCGGCGGGACCGCCCCGGCGCACUCGUGCCCGGAACCAGGCGCCCGCCGGAGGCCCAAAAACCCAUUUUUUGCAUUUCGCGGAAUUCUCUGAGUGACACAAAACAAAUAAAUCA